CCCUUAGAUGUUCUGGGCCGCACGCGUGCUACACUGAGUGGAUCAGCGGGUCAGGUUGCGCGAAAGCGUUUCCUAAUCUUUAAAUCCGCUCGUGAUGGGUAUUGACGGUUGCAAUUUUCUGUCAUGAACGAGGAAUACCUUGUAAGCGCGGGUCAUCAUCCCGCGCUGAAUACGUCCCUGCCCUUUGUACACACCGCCCGUCGCUCCUACCGAUUGAGUGGUCCGGUGAGGCUUUGGGAUCUGAGCGGAAAGAGCGUUUCGCUGUUUCUGCUCGGAAAACUCAGUCGAACCUUAUCAUUUAGAGGAAGGAGAAGUCGUAACA
Molecule: ribosomal RNA, 322 nt
Filed under: uncultured eukaryote
Lineage: Eukaryota
Description: partial 18S ribosomal RNA
Rfam family: Eukaryotic small subunit ribosomal RNA
Source: RNAcentral